RNAcentral lists this ribosomal RNA (424 nucleotides) under Cytherissa lacustris. RNAcentral's name for it is "partial small subunit ribosomal RNA". Lineage: Eukaryota; Metazoa; Arthropoda; Ostracoda; Podocopida; Cytherideidae. The record is from RNAcentral.
UUUAAUAGUCGAACAGACUAGCUUGCUUAGCUACUACACUAGACAGCACCUUUAAUUCAACAUCGAGGUCACAAAAUCUUUUAUCAAUAUGGGCUCUCUAAAAGCAUUGUGCUGUUAUCCCUGAGGUAACUACUCUUUAACUUGUUGAAGAUCUUAGUCUGGCUAUAUAAAUUGACGUACAAACUAGAUGUGUUAGUUUACCGCCCCAGUUUGAUACAACAAAACCAAAGACCUAAAUUGUUUGGGCCUGAGACUCAGGCUUCAUCAGCUCUGCAGGGUCUUAUCUUCCCAUUGGUUGAACUUGAAGUUUUAAUCAAGGCCUUAAGUUACAAACUUAUAGGUUUACAAGUCGUCUUUCAUGAGCCCCUUCAUUCUAGACCCCAAUUAAAAGCCAAAUUAUUAUGCUACCUUUGCACAGUUAGGG